CCUACGGGUGGCAGCAGUGGGGAAUAUUGCACAAUGGGGGAAACCCUGAUGCAGCGACGCCGCGUGCGUGAAGAAGUACUUCGGUAUGUAAAGCUCUAUCAGCGGGGAAGAAAAUGACGGUACCUGAGUAAGCAGCCCCGGCUAACUCCGUGCCAGCAACCGCGGGAAUACGUAGGGGGCAAGCGUUAUCCGGAUUUAAUGGGUGUAAAGGGAGCGUAGACGGCAGUGCAAGUCUGGAGUGAAAGGCGGGGGCUCAACCCCCGGACUGCUCUGGAAACUGUACGGCUGGAGUGCAGGAGAGGUAAGUGGAAUUCCUGGUGUAGCGGUGAAAUGCGUAGAGAUCAGGAGGAACACCAGUGGCGAAGGCGGCUUACUGGACUGUAACUGACGUUGAGGCUCGAAAGCGUGGGGAGCAAACAGGAUUAGAUACCCGUGUAGUC
RNAcentral lists this ribosomal RNA (440 nucleotides) under uncultured bacterium. Its description in RNAcentral is "partial 16S ribosomal RNA". It matches the Rfam family "Bacterial small subunit ribosomal RNA", at positions 338 to 795 of the family's 1533-position model. The record is from RNAcentral.